RNAcentral lists this ribosomal RNA (468 nucleotides) under uncultured bacterium. Its description in RNAcentral is "partial 16S ribosomal RNA". It matches the Rfam family "Bacterial small subunit ribosomal RNA", at positions 28 to 506 of the family's 1533-position model. The record is from RNAcentral.
GACGAACGCUGGCGGCGUGCUUAACACAUGCAAGUCGAACGGAAAGGCCCUGCUUUUGUGGGGUGCUCGAGUGGCGAACGGGUGAGUAACACGUGAGUAACCUGCCCUUGACUUUGGGAUAACUUCAGGAAACUGGGGCUAAUACCGGAUAGGAGCUCCUGCUGCAUGGUGGGGGUUGGAAAGUUUCGGCGGUUGGGGAUGGACUCGCGGCUUAUCAGCUUGUUGGUGGGGUAGUUGCGUACCAAGGCUUUGACGGGUAGCCGGCCUGAGGGGGGUAACCGCCAAAAUGGGAACUGAGAUACGGCCCGAAUACCUAGGGGGGCGAAAGGGGGGAAAGAUUGAACAAGGGACGAAGGCUGAAGGAGGAAAGGCGGCGGCGGGAAAAACGCCGUUAGGGUGGAAAACCACUUCGGCAUGUAACAAGGCUGGGUUGACGGAAAGGGUAAAAGAAAACCGGGGUAAAAACGG